This 453-nucleotide ribosomal RNA is filed under the name Olea europaea subsp. europaea. RNAcentral describes it as "SSU_rRNA_bacteria". It matches the Rfam family "Eukaryotic small subunit ribosomal RNA", at positions 1250 to 1653 of the family's 1831-position model. The record is from RNAcentral. Lineage: Eukaryota; Viridiplantae; Streptophyta; Magnoliopsida; Lamiales; Oleaceae.
GCAAGUGUGCACCAAGUGGGAUUUUCUCUCACUAGGCUGAGAGCAUCUCUUUCUAACUCACUUUUUAAUUGAGAGCUCUUUCUAGAUUCUAUGGGUGGUGGUGCAUGGCCUUUCUUAGUUGGUGGAAUGAUUUGUCUAGUUAAUUUUGUUAACGAAUGAGACUUCAGCCUACAAACUAGCUAUGCGGAGGUACCCCUCCGUGGCCAGCUUUUUAGAGGGACUACCUCCUUUUAGGCCAUGAAAGUUUGAGGCAAUAAUAGGUCUGUGAUGCCCUUAGAUGUUCUGGGCCACACACGUGCUACACUGAUGUAUUCAACAAGUUUAUAGCCUUGGCCGACAUGUUCGGGUAAUCUUUGAAAUUUCAUUGGGAUGGGGAUAGAUCAUUGCAAUUGUUGGUCUUCAAUGAGGAAUUCCUAGUAAACGUGAGUCAUCAGCUCACGUUGACUAUGUCCC